This 308-nucleotide non-coding RNA is filed under the name Apophlaea sinclairii. The record is from RNAcentral. Lineage: Eukaryota; Rhodophyta; Florideophyceae; Hildenbrandiales; Hildenbrandiaceae.
GGGGUUGUUUGGUUUCUACAUAAUAAUAUAAAGUGUUAAGAAAAGCAUAAACUUGCUUAAAACUUACAGUCUGUAAACUAAUAGCAAAAAGUCAAAUUCUUCCGUUUUCUUUAAUGUCAGUGGUUUAACAUUGUUUUUAUAUUCAAAAAGAAAUCAACUUAAAUUUCUACACCUAAGUUGAUUAUAUAAUGUAGAUGCUCUUAAGUAUUAUUUUAAGUUAAGUAAAAAAUAUAAAUAAUUGUAAUUUAGUUAAAUAAUAAUCUUAACAUAUAUUAUUUUGGACGUGGGUUCAAGUCCCACCAACUCCA